RNAcentral lists this transfer RNA (77 nucleotides) under Synechococcus sp. CC9902. RNAcentral's name for it is "tRNA-Met". The record is from RNAcentral. Lineage: Bacteria; Bacillati; Cyanobacteriota; Cyanophyceae; Synechococcales; Synechococcaceae.
UGGUAAUUGCACCAAUUUACUUCGCUAAGGAAGUUGAUUUUGGUGUGUUUGGUCAGGCCAGUAUUGCAUUCUCUCAA